CCCUCUCGCUCUUGCUCUUGCUCUCUCGUGCUCCCUUGCCGUCUCCCUCUCCCUCUCGCUCUCUCGUGCUCCCUCUCUCAAUCUCGCUGCCACUCAGCUUGUGGACAGAAGGUUUCUUCCUAUCAGGUAAAAACAAAGGGUUUCUUCCCAUCUUGCUGCCACUCUCCUUGUGGACGAAAGGUUUCUUCCCGUCAGGUGAUCAACUAGCUAUAGGAAAGGAAACCGGUUGCUGUCUGGGAAUGGGCACCAACAUGUACCCGUCAUCAGCUUUGCUAGGACAGAACAAGGAUGAGUCAAUUGCUGCUUUGCCAAUCGAUGAGCUGAUAGAGAAGGCCGAUGGUUUUGCUAAUGUUUUCCCUGAAUGCAAAAUUGAAGGGGACUAAUGGUACUACGAAAGAAAGUUCCAAGGUCUGGCAAAUAAGAAGACCAUGCUGAUUCAGCCAGCAGGGAAAGAUCUUUCUGUUGUGCUUGCAACGACGAAGAUAAAGAACCAAAACCGUCCUGCAAAUCUGUACCAUAGGUCAAUCAUGAAGAAGGAAUUCUGACAAAUGGCAAAGGCUGUUGUUAACCAGACUGGAGAUUUGUGGUUUGAGGGUCGUGAGCGCAUUCAUCACACACGAGACCGGCUCUUAUAACUUAAGGAGGUUGUAGAUGUUCCUGAAGAUAUAUUGAAAAUCAAAUAAGAGAUUGAGUCUGAACUUUUUGGGGAUGAUUAGAGUACAAGCAAUUUGAGGACUUCCUCUUCUUUGCAAGGACUCGCUAGAGUAUGUUUCUAAAAUUGUGGAUGUUCUUGGACAACUCCUCAU
Long non-coding RNA from Magnolia sinica, 806 nucleotides. RefSeq lists it as uncharacterized. The transcript is spliced from 6 exons. The record is from RefSeq and is a predicted model, not a curated record. NCBI's taxonomy places the organism in Eukaryota, Viridiplantae, Streptophyta, Magnoliopsida, Magnoliales, Magnoliaceae.